Cryptococcus wingfieldii CBS 7118 is the source of this 99-nucleotide non-coding RNA. The record is from the annotation of a RefSeq genome assembly. NCBI's taxonomy places the organism in Eukaryota, Fungi, Basidiomycota, Tremellomycetes, Tremellales, Cryptococcaceae.
AACAGCGUAAUUCAGAGGAAGAAUGCGAGGCUCAUAUUACGUAAUAAUAUACGAAAUUUGAUCACCUCGAAGUCAUGGGAUCGAAACCCAUCGCUGUUA